CUACAAAAUAAAGCAAACAACUGUUGCCAAAUCAUGGGUACCAAAAUAAAAUAGAGUUUAAGAGAGAGAGAGAAGUGAACGUUGGGGGCGAAGUAAAAACCAAGAUCCGGAGAGAGAACCGAAAGACAACUCAAAUCAUUUGAAUGAGGUGUGGAUGUCCUCUGGAGAAGUUAUUUUUUUCGGAAGUGUCAAACUUGUAAGUCAUAUUAAACUUGUCCAGAAAAAGAAAAGAAACAAGUAAUGUUCUUACUAAAUUGGCCGAAGAAUGGAAAAUUUAGUGGAGAUGACAAUGAGCCGAACACAUUAUUCGAUUCCAAAAUCACUAGAUCUCUCCCUUACUUUGCAUACAAUUGGAUACAACUGAUAAUGAUUUGCAUUCUUGUUUGCAUGUUUUGUAGAAUUUUUUUACUUAUAAUCCAAAAUAACAGACUUCUGGAGGGAAAAAGUUCAGCUUUCUCCCCUUAGAAAGGGAUAGUCACUUUGCCAUGAUGGUUCUCUACUUCACUUUUAACCUACAACUACAUGGAGCGGUCAUUGUCACCAAAAUUUAUUUCGUAGCGACAGAAAGAUAUCUGGUGUAUCAUUUCCCUGUAUAAUUAGAUUGUCUUAGUAGUUCCGUAAUGUGAUCUUUGCGGAUAUUUGAUGGUCGAGUUGUGUGUUGUGCGCAUAAGUUAUAACUUGAGGAUGGGGAUACUAAACUUUUUUAAGGCCUGAAGGUAUACCUUGUUUAAGGGUAUUGGAACAAGAUGGAGAACAUGAAUUAUGCCGAGGAGCUUAUCAGGGAGUUUCUUGUCUUCAGAGGGUUUACAAACACUUUGCAAGCGUUUGAGACAGCUAUGCAGUGAUAUUGGCAAAGGAUUUCAAGUGGAUAAGAUAUUAGACUUAAUGUUUUCGGUAUAUAUUUGCAAAUUUCGGGCAGAAAAAUUAAUUGGUUUGCUGGGAUUUUUCAAGCAGUGCUUUUCUUCAUCCUCCAAGACAGUAUUUUUUGAUAAAUUAUCAAAAUUGGACGUUUCUAUUAUUUGCUACUAUAUUGUCCAUGCCAUACGAUUAGGAAGGAAAGACAAAGUUAUCGAGUUUUUUUGGAAUAAGUGGUGGUGACUUGCUGCAAAGAGACCAGGAAUGGAAUUUGUGGUUUGCUGUCCCGUAUCUGAAAAACCCAUGCUUGGAUCCGCAGUUUCAUGUAUACUUUUCACAGGAGUGGUUUGAUGCCUUGCGUCUUUUAGUGAGGAAAUUUUUGAGCGCGAUGUUUAAUGAAAAAGGAAAAAAUGGAACUUUUGAAUUCCAUGGAGCUUUUCCUUAGCUAACUAAUGCAUCCCUGCCCUGUUGAAGAUUAGUUCAGAGAGAAAUACCGUAAACCGUCUUAAAAGAGACAUUAAACAACUUAAUCUUAAAUUGGCACAACUUCAGGCUUUAUUGGAGGAGACAGAGGGUCAGCUACAUUGGUCAAGGAGUGAUGGAAGUAAGCACCGGUGAAGCAAACAGUACAAGACACACUUCAACCGGGAGUUUGUUAAGUGCUGCGCAUGAAGAAAGUAAUGUUGCGCCAAAUGUUUCCCGUGAAACUUCUGCCUUUGCAAGCCGACAUAUUGGUGAAGCAGAGUUGUCUAAGGAUUGGUAUGUUGCUGAACCUGCUGAAAUUUCACAAGAAUCAGGCCCACCUUAUUCUGCUCAUGGUUCGAGUUCUAAAAUGAAUCAUCAUAUUGGAGACUGUGGAGCAACAAGUGCCCCUCAAAAUUUCUACGAUGGUAUUCAUAUUGGUAAGUAAUACUUGUAAUUUUUUGUCUCUCCUCCUUCCAUGGAUACAACAGAGUGAUUGCCGUGUGAUUGGUUGUCUUUGAAUUAGGGAAAUUUUCUACUGCUUGUUGCUUCAUGGAGCUAUUUUCGAGUGUUUGCAGUAUCAGGUAAAGCUAAGGUCACAGUCAUGCAGUAACAGUGUCGGAAACAUCAUGAAGGGCAUAAUAGGAAUGGCCAUCAGUGUUAUGUCUCUUAAACAUAGGAAACGCUAAAAGUCGAUUACAAUUAUGUACUAAUUUCAGUUUGUUACAUUAAAAUACUACAAUUGUUUCUUUGAAAAAUGUUAUGUCACCUUGAAAAAUGUUCUACUUGUUAUUGGACUU
Cornus florida is the source of this 2117-nucleotide long non-coding RNA. RefSeq lists it as uncharacterized. The record is from RefSeq and is a predicted model, not a curated record. The transcript has 6 exons. Lineage: Eukaryota; Viridiplantae; Streptophyta; Magnoliopsida; Cornales; Cornaceae.